GUAACAAGGUUUCCGUAGGUGAACCUGCGGAAGGAUCAUUAAAUAAUCAAUAAUCUUGGCUUGUCCAUUAUUAUCUAUUUACUGUGAACUGUAUUAUUAUUUGACGUUUGAGGGAUGUUCCAAUGUUAUAAGGAUAGACAUUGGAGAUGUUAACCGAGUCAUAAUCAGGUUUAGGCCUGGUAUCCUAUUAUUAUUUACCAAAUGAAUUCAGAAUUAAUAUUGUAACAUAGACCUAAAAAAUCUAUAAAACAACUUUUAACAACGGAUCUCUUGGUUCUCGCAUCGAUGAAGAACGUAGCAAAGUGCGAUAACUAGUGUGAAUUGCAUAUUCAGUGAAUCAUCGAGUCUUUGAACGCAACUUGCGCUCAUUGGUAUUCCAAUGAGCACGCCUGUUUCAGUAUCAAAACAAACCCUCUAUCCAACUUUUGUUGUAUAGGAUUAUUGGGGGCCUCUCGAUCUGUAUAGAUCUUGAAACCCUUGAAAUUUACUAAGGCCUGAACUUGUUUAAUGCCUGAACUUUUUUUUAAUAUAAAGGAAAGCUCUUGUAAUUGACUUUGAUGGGGCCUCCCAAAUAAAUCUUUUUUAAAUUUGAUCUGAAAUCAGGUGGGAUUACCCGCUGAACUUAAGCAUAUCAAUAA
RNAcentral lists this unclassified non-coding RNA (638 nucleotides) under Mucor plumbeus. RNAcentral describes it as "sequence contains 18S rRNA gene, ITS1, 5.8S rRNA gene, ITS2, 28S rRNA gene". The stretch from base 251 to 403 matches the Rfam family "5.8S ribosomal RNA". Lineage: Eukaryota; Fungi; Mucoromycota; Mucoromycetes; Mucorales; Mucoraceae. The record is from RNAcentral.